RNAcentral lists this unclassified non-coding RNA (303 nucleotides) under Hevea brasiliensis (rubber tree). The record is from RNAcentral. Lineage: Eukaryota; Viridiplantae; Streptophyta; Magnoliopsida; Malpighiales; Euphorbiaceae.
UGCUGGUGGGUUUCAAAAUCAAACAUUGUGUGUUUAUCUCUCUAUCUUGUUCUUUCCUUCUCCAUCUCUCUCUCUUCCCUUCCUCCACACCCCCCCCCCCCACAACCCAAAAUCUCCUCUCGCUCCCACUUGGGUUUUUCUGUCUAAAAUUUUCUUUCCACUUUAGCUUAGACAGUUAGACCUGAUGCUAACGCUUGAGCAUCUAUUAUUUGUUUCAAUUUUUUUUUCCCAUGUUCCUUGGCCCUUUAUCAGCUAAUGCCCACAUUAGAGAAUUGCCUUUUAUUUUUUUAAUAAUAAUAAUAA